UACGGAGGGGGCGAGCGUUAUUCGGAAUUAUUGGGCGUAAAGGGCGCGUAGGCGGCUCCGCAAGUCUGGCGUGAAAUCUCCACAGCUCACCUGGGAGAGGUCGCUGGAAACUGCGGAGCUUGAGGUCCGGAGAGGCCGAUGGAAUUCCCGGUGUAGCGGUGGAAUGCGUAGAUAUCGGGAAGAACACCUGUGGCGAAGGCGGUCGGCUGGACGGCACCUGACGCUGAGGCGCGAAAGUGUGGGGAGCGAACGGG
This 254-nucleotide ribosomal RNA is filed under the name uncultured bacterium. RNAcentral describes it as "partial 16S ribosomal RNA". It matches the Rfam family "Bacterial small subunit ribosomal RNA", at positions 524 to 776 of the family's 1533-position model. The record is from RNAcentral.